This 472-nucleotide ribosomal RNA is filed under the name uncultured bacterium. RNAcentral describes it as "bacterial SSU rRNA". It matches the Rfam family "Bacterial small subunit ribosomal RNA", at positions 328 to 793 of the family's 1533-position model. The record is from RNAcentral.
GCAGAGCACUCCUACGAGAGGCAGCAGUGGGGAAUAUUGCACAAUGGGCGCAAGCCUGAUGCAGCCAUGCCGCGUGUAUGAAGAAGGCCUUCGGGUUGUAAAGUACUUUCAGCAGUGAGGAAGGUGGGUAUGUUAAUAGCAUAUUCAUUUGACGUUAGCUGCAGAAGAAGCACCGGCUAACUCCGUGCCAGCAGCCGCGGUAAUACGGAGGGUGCGAGCGUUAAUCGGAAUUACUGGGCGUAAAGCGCAUGCAGGUGGUUUGUUAAGUCAGAUGUGAAAGCCCGGGGCUCAACCUCGGAAUUGCAUUUGAAACUGGCAAACUAGAGUACUGUAGAGGGGGUAGAAUUUCAGGUGUAGCGGUGAAAUGCGUAGAGAUCUGAAGGAAUACCGGUGGCGAAGGCGGCCCCCUGGACAGAUACUGACACUCAGAUGCGAAAGCGUGGGGAGCAAACAGGAUUAGAUACCCUGGUAG